AGCGAACGCUGGCGGCAGGCCUAACACAUGCAAGUCGAACGAACCUUUCGGGGUUAGUGGCGGACGGGUGAGUAACACGUGGGAACGUGCCUUUAGGUUCGGAAUAACUCAGGGAAACUUGUGCUAAUACCGAAUGUGCCCUUCGGGGGAAAGAUUUAUCGCCGUUAGAGCGGCCCGCGUCUGAUUAGCUAGUUGGUUGAGGUAAUGGCUCACCAAGGCGACGAUCAGUAGCUGGUCUGAGAGGAUGAUCAGCCACAUUGGGACUGAGACACGGCCCAAACUCCUCCGGGCGGCCGCCGUGGGGCCUCUUGCGCCCUGGGCGCCCGCCUGACGCAGCCAUGCCGCGUGAAUGAUGAAGGUCUUAGGCUUGUCCCCUUCUUUCCCCGGGGCCGCUCAUGCCGGUCCCCGGCGCAGCCGCCCCGGCUCCCUUCGU
Molecule: ribosomal RNA, 433 nt
Filed under: uncultured bacterium
Lineage: Bacteria
Description: partial 16S ribosomal RNA
Rfam family: Bacterial small subunit ribosomal RNA
Source: RNAcentral